GAGUUUGAUCGUGGCUCAGAUCGAACGCUGGCGGCAGGCCUAACACAUGCAAGUCGAGCGGAUGACGGGAGCUCGCUCCUUGAUUCAGCGGCGGACGGGUGAGUAAUGCCUAGGAAUCUGCCUGGUAGUGGGGGACAACGUUUCGAAAGGAACGCUAAUACCGCAUACGUCCUACGGGAGAAAGCAGGGGACCUUCGGGCCUUGCGCUAUCAGAUGAGCCUAGGUCGGAUUAGCUAGUUGGUGGGGUAAUGGCUCACCAAGGCGACGAUCCGUAACUGGUCUGAGAGGAUGAUCAGUCACACUGGAACUGAGACACGGUCCAGACUCCUACGGGAGGCAGCAGUGGGGAAUAUUGGACAAUGGGCGAAAGCCUGAUCCAGCCAUGCCGCGUGUGUGAAGAAGGUCUUCGGAUUGUAAAGCACUUUAAGUUGGGAGGAAGGCAGUAAGUUAAUACCUUGCUGUUUUGACGUUACCGACAGAAUAAGCACCGGCUAACUCUGUGCCAGCAGCC
This 511-nucleotide ribosomal RNA is filed under the name bacterium enrichment culture clone ALO1_GLFRUDD03GKB2I. Its description in RNAcentral is "bacterial SSU rRNA". It matches the Rfam family "Bacterial small subunit ribosomal RNA", at positions 9 to 516 of the family's 1533-position model. The record is from RNAcentral.